GAUGAAGAACGCAGCGAAAUGCGAUAAGUAAUGUGAAUUGCAGAAUUCAGUGAAUCAUCGAAUCUUUGAACGCAUCUUGCGCUCCUUGGUAUUCUGAGGAGCAUGCCUGUUUGAGUGUCAUUAAAUUCUCAACUACACUGACUUUGAAUUGGUGUGGCUUGGAUUUGGGGGGAAAAUUGUUGUGGACUUUUUGUAUAGUCUGCUCCCCUGAAAUUGAUUAGCGGUACCUUUGUGGAACUGUCUACAGGUGUGAUAAUUAUCUACAUCUUAGACAUCUGCUGGAAUGCUGCUUUCUAAACCUUACUUGUAUUGACAAUCUUGACCUCAAAUCAGGUAGGACUACCCGCUGAACUUAAGCAUAUCAAUAAGCGGAGGA
This 376-nucleotide unclassified non-coding RNA is filed under the name soil metagenome. Its description in RNAcentral is "partial contains 5.8S ribosomal RNA, internal transcribed spacer 2, and large subunit ribosomal RNA". The stretch from base 1 to 120 matches the Rfam family "5.8S ribosomal RNA", at positions 35 to 154 of the family's 154-position model. The record is from RNAcentral.